UAACACAUGCAAGUCGUACGAGAACUCUUCUGCUUGCAGAAGAUAGUAAAGUGGCGUACGGGUGAGUAACGCGUGGGUAAUCUACCUCCGAAUUGGGGAUAACAUUGCGAAAGCGAUGCUAAUACCGGAUAAUAUCCUGAGGGCUUCGGUCUUCGAGAUCAAAGGUGGCCUCUACAUGUAAGCUACCGUUUGGAGAUGAGCUCGCGUACCAUUAGCUUGUUGGUAGGGUAACGGCCUACCAAGGCUACGAUGGUUAGCUGGUCUGAGAGGAUGAUCAGCCACACUGGAACUGACACACGGUCCAGACUCCUACGGGAGGCAGCAGUGAGGAAUUUUGCGCAAUGGGGGAAACCCUGACGCAGCAACGCCGCGUGAGUGAUGAAGGCUUUCGGGUCGUAAAGCUCUGUCAAGUGGGAAGAACCUGUCCGAUGCCAAUACCAUCGGGCACUGACGGUACCACUGAAGGAAGCACCGGCUAACUCCGUGCCAGCAGCCGCGGUAAUACGGGGGGUGCAAGCGUUAUUCGGAAUCAUUGGGCGUAAAGGGCGCGUAGGCGGCCUCUUAAGUCAGAUGUGAAAGCCCGGGGCUUAACCCCGGAAGUGCAUUUGAAACUGAGAAGCUUGAGUAUGGGAGAGGGAAGUGGAAUUCCUGGUGUAGAGGUGAAAUUCGUAGAUAUCAGGAGGAACACCGGUGGCGAAGGCGACUUCCUGGACCAAUACUGACGCUGAGGCGCGAAGGCGUGGGUAGCAAACAGGAUUAGAUACCCUGGUAGUCCACGCAGUAAACGUUGUUCACUAGGUGUAGCGGGUAUUGACCCCUGCUGUGCCGCAGUUAACGCAUUAAGUGAACCGCCUGGGAAGUACGGCCGCAAGGUUAAAACUCAAAGGAAUUGACGGGGGCCCGCACAAGCGUGGAGCAUGUGGUUUAAUUCGACGCAACGCGAAGAACCUUACCUGGGUUUGACAUCCCGAGAAGUCUCUUGAAAGAGAGAUGUGCCCUUCGGGGAGCUCGGAGACAGGUGCUGCAUGGCUGUCGUCAGCUCGUGUCGUGAGAUGUUGGGUUAAGUCCCGCAACGAGCGCAACCCUUAUCUUUAGUUACAGCAUUCAGUUGGGGACUCUAAAGAUACUGCCCCGGUUAACGGGGAGGAAGGUGGGGAUGACGUCAAGUCCUCAUGGCCCUUAUACCCAGGGCUACACACGUGCUACAAUGGGCUGUACAAAGGGCCGCAAACCC
This 1234-nucleotide ribosomal RNA is filed under the name metagenome. Its description in RNAcentral is "bacterial SSU rRNA". It matches the Rfam family "Bacterial small subunit ribosomal RNA", at positions 49 to 1256 of the family's 1533-position model. The record is from RNAcentral.